GGCCAGUAGUAACCCUGCUGUAGUACUUUGUAGGCCAAGGAUUUGCCCCCAAGUGAUUUCCGCAGAUCCCUUCAUGCACCUCUCUGAGUGCGUAGUCCGCGUCAGUCGGUCCCAGGCACCUCAGCAAGGGAAGGAAGAACGAUCUUUAGUAGAGUCGGCCGUCCAUCAUCACAUAUUGGGAGGCCACCCACCGGAGUUGUUUGGCUUCCGCGGGGUCUUCAGGGCUGGUUCCGUCGGUCAGAUACUGAACGAUCGGAUCCAUCCAGUUCAGCU
RNAcentral lists this long non-coding RNA (273 nucleotides) under Elaeis guineensis (African oil palm). RNAcentral's name for it is "long non-coding RNA (EGUI_LNC062604)". The record is from RNAcentral. Lineage: Eukaryota; Viridiplantae; Streptophyta; Magnoliopsida; Arecales; Arecaceae.